This 21-nucleotide non-coding RNA is filed under the name Caenorhabditis elegans. Lineage: Eukaryota; Metazoa; Nematoda; Chromadorea; Rhabditida; Rhabditidae. The record is from RNAcentral.
UUUUUCGUAUUCAUUUCCGGA